AAAGGGUGCGUAGACGGGAAAUUAAGUUAGUUGUGAAAUCCCAUGGCUCAACUGUGGAACUGCAACUAAAACUGAUUUUCUUGAGUACUGGAGAGGAAAGUGGAAUUCCUAGUGUAGCGGUGAAAUGCGUAGAUAUUAGGAGGAACACCAGUGGCGAAGGCGACUUUCUGGACAGUAACUGACGUUGAGGCACGAAAGUGUGGGGAGCAAACAGGAUUAGAUACCCUGGUAGUCCACACCGCAAACGAUGGAUACUAGGUGUAGGGUGUGAUGAACAUUCUGUGCCGUCG
RNAcentral lists this ribosomal RNA (290 nucleotides) under uncultured bacterium. RNAcentral describes it as "partial 16S ribosomal RNA". It matches the Rfam family "Bacterial small subunit ribosomal RNA", at positions 562 to 851 of the family's 1533-position model. The record is from RNAcentral.